Long non-coding RNA from Choloepus didactylus (southern two-toed sloth), 483 nucleotides. RefSeq lists it as uncharacterized. Lineage: Eukaryota; Metazoa; Chordata; Mammalia; Pilosa; Megalonychidae. The transcript has 3 exons. The record is from RefSeq and is a predicted model, not a curated record.
CUUCACACUCAUUUCAAGUAAUUGAGUCACUGGUUUGAGCCCAAACCUCUGCCUGUUUCCUAGUUCUGAUCCAUAUGAGAGCAUGCUCUGUCCACCUGCAUGGCCCUGUCAGCUCCUGGUUGCUAGCAGUGCUUGAAAGAGCCCUGCAGGGUGGGAAGGCCAGGACCUACUUCCUAGAAUACCAUCAUCACAGCCCUGCCCAGAACCAAGAAGUAUGUCAAGGUCAUUCUUGAUGUGGUUUAACACAGGUAAGCAACGCUUGUGUCCAACGUAAAAGAAGCACUUUUCUUUCCAGAGGCAACUUGACAAGGUUAGGUAGAAGAGAUAAAGGAGGAAGGAGAUGAGUUAGUCUUGGGCAAGCAUAAUUCACAAUAGAUGUCAGCACCCCCUUUUCAUCUGAAAUGAAUUAUUCACUCCUUCCACUGUAUUGUCUCACUUCCCCUCUGAAGACUGAAACACAGAGGGCAACUUUCACUUCCCACA